UGCAGUCGAGUCAAAUUCUGCCCCCAUUCCUGUCAUAGUGGGGGCUGGCCCAGAUGACUGCCACAGCAAGCUCUGUAGCUCAUGGGCCCUGGUCCCCUGCCCCUGGGACCUGGGGAUAAGUUUGGCUGCAGACAUUG
Prolemur simus (greater bamboo lemur) is the source of this 137-nucleotide small nucleolar RNA. Ensembl annotates it as small nucleolar RNA, H/ACA box 5C. Its record names the gene SNORA5C. The record is from Ensembl. NCBI's taxonomy places the organism in Eukaryota, Metazoa, Chordata, Mammalia, Primates, Lemuridae.